This is a non-coding RNA of Macaca mulatta (Rhesus monkey), 529 nucleotides long. Lineage: Eukaryota; Metazoa; Chordata; Mammalia; Primates; Cercopithecidae. The record is from RefSeq and is a predicted model, not a curated record.
AGACCCGCUCUCCGGAAAGCGCCGGCCAUUUCUAACCCCGCUCUCCCGAAGGCGCCGGCCAUUUCUAACCCAGCCAGUCCAGCACAAUACAUACACUCACUCAUUCAUUCAUUUCUGAAGAAAGCGUUACCCUGAAUAUAUGUUUUGUCAUGCAGAAUGCAGGCCAGAGUCUACAGACUUGAACAUCCUGGAUUAUGGGGGGUGGGAAGGGGCCCCAGAAUAAAAAUCUGGCAUCUCAUAAGAAGCCCUAUUUCAAGACAGGACCUCGGAAAUGCUGUGCACAGUCAGUAGGGUGGUGCCCUCCUAAGGCUUUUCGAAGAUUCCGGGCUAGAAAAAACAUGCAGCAGUAACCUGACAGGUCUGUGAAGACGGCAGUGUGCCCGUGCCGCCGGUAACACACCCAUCUGCCUCUCUCCAAAGGACCGGGAAACAAACGCCUCGUCUGAGACUGAAAUGAAGCCUGAGAAGCAGUCAUUUUUCUUUAUAUUGUUUGGAAUUAAAAACAUAUUAAAUUGAUCCAUUAUGAAAA